GAAGUAAAAAAUCGUAACAAGGUCUCCGUUGGUGAACCAGCG
This 42-nucleotide ribosomal RNA is filed under the name Trichoderma sp. PPc5-A(2) Fr. RNAcentral's name for it is "partial 17S ribosomal RNA". Lineage: Eukaryota; Fungi; Ascomycota; Sordariomycetes; Hypocreales; Hypocreaceae. The record is from RNAcentral.